This 1191-nucleotide small RNA is filed under the name uncultured Lysobacteraceae bacterium. Its description in RNAcentral is "bacterial SSU rRNA". The stretch from base 1 to 498 matches the Rfam family "Bacterial small subunit ribosomal RNA", at positions 1045 to 1533 of the family's 1533-position model. The record is from RNAcentral. Lineage: Bacteria; Pseudomonadati; Pseudomonadota; Gammaproteobacteria; Lysobacterales; Lysobacteraceae.
AUGGCUGUCGUCAGCUCGUGCCGUGAGAUGUUGGGUUAAGUCCCGCAACGAGCGCAACCCUUGUCCUUAGUUGCCAGCACGUAAUGGUGGGAACUCUAAGGAGACUGCCGGUGACAAACCGGAGGAAGGUGGGGAUGACGUCAAGUCAUCAUGGCCCUUACGACCAGGGCUACACACGUACUACAAUGGGGGGUACAGAGGGUAGCGAAGCCGCGAGGUGAAGCCAAUCCCAGAAAACCUCUCUCAGUCCGGAUCGCAGUCUGCAACUCGACUGCGUGAAGUCGGAAUCGCUAGUAAUCGCGAAUCAGCAUUGUCGCGGUGAAUACGUUCCCGGGCCUUGUACACACCGCCCGUCACACCAUGGGAGUUGGUUGCUCCAGAAGCAGGUAGUCUAACCGGUCGCAAGACUGGAGGACGCUUGCCACGGAGUGGUCAAUGACUGGGGUGAAGUCGUAACAAGGUAGCCGUAUCGGAAGGUGCGGCUGGAUCACCUCCUUUCGAGAACGACAUGGAUUCAUUCCAUGGCGUCCACACAAGACACCUGCAACGUAGAAGAUAGGGCCUAGGGCUCGGCCCAUCGGGCUGCAGACACCCAAGCUCGCGCGGGCAACCGCCACUCUUUGGGUCUGUAGCUCAGGUGGUUAGAGCGCGCCCCUGAUAAGGGCGAGGUCGGUGGUUCGAGUCCUCCCAGACCCACCAUUGACAGCAAGAGCGCCCUCACCCCGUACCCUCUCCCGCAAGCGGGCGAGGGGGAGUGAUCGUCGCGCAGAGCGCGACACCGUUACUGAUAAAGGACGGGGCUGUAGCUCAGCUGGGAGAGCACCUGGUUUGCAACCAGGGGGUCGUCGGUUCGAUCCCGAUCAGCUCCACCAGUUUUGGCAUCUUCUACACUGCGCACACAUAAAGAAUUUGAAGCGGUCAGGCGUUGAGGCCUGACCGCGUUCUAUGACAAUUUGGGACGUAACAAGCGUCUGAACUUUUAUCGAGUUUAGAUGUGUCGUUGAGGCAAUUAGGCGAAAUACAGUUGAUUGUGUGAUCCGGAGGCGACUUCGGGUUAUAUGGUCAAGCGAAUAAGCGUCUACGGUGGAUGCCUUGGCGGUCAGAGGCUAUGAAGGACGUGGCAGCCUGCGAAAAGCGUGGGGGAGCUGGCAACAAGCAUUGAUCCCGCGAUAUCCGAAUGGGGAAACCCGG